Molecule: ribosomal RNA, 993 nt
Filed under: Enterobacter sp.
Lineage: Bacteria; Pseudomonadati; Pseudomonadota; Gammaproteobacteria; Enterobacterales; Enterobacteriaceae
Description: bacterial SSU rRNA
Rfam family: Bacterial small subunit ribosomal RNA
Source: RNAcentral
CUUUGACGCUCCCAGGAGGAAGAAAGCACCUGUCUCACUACCGUGCCAGCAGGCGCGGUAAUACGGAGGGUGCAAGCGUUAAUCGGAAUUAGCGGGCAGUAAACCGCACGCAGGGCGGUCCCUCAAGUCGGAUGUGAAAUCGUUGGCCUCAACGUGGGAACCUUCAUUAGAAACUGGCAUACUAGAGUCUUGUAGAGGGGCGUAGAACUACAGGUGUAGCGGUGAAAUGCGUAGAGAUCUGGAGGAAUACCGGUGGCGAAGGCGGCCCCCUGGACAAAGACUGAUGCUCAGGUGAGAAAGCGUGGGGAGCAAACAGGAUUAGAUACCCCUGGUAGUCCACGCCGUAAACGAUGUCGACUUGGAGGUUGCGCCCUUGAGGCGUGGCUUCCGGAGCUAACGCGUUAAGUCGACCGCCUGGGGAGUACGGCCGCAAGGUUAAAACUCAAAUGAAUUGACGGGGGCCCGCACAAGCGGUGGAGCAUGUGGUUUAAUUCGAUGCAACGCGAAGAACCUUACCUACUCUUGACAUCCAGAGAACUUUCCAGAGAUGGAUUGGUGCCUUCGGGAACUCUGAGACAGGUGCUGCAUGGCUGUCGUCAGCUCGUGUUGUGAAAUGUUGGGUUAAGUCCCGCAACGAGCGCAACCCUUAUCCUUUGUUGCCAGCGGUCCGGCCGGGAACUCAAAGGAGACUGCCAGUGAUAAACUGGAGGAAGGUGGGGAUGACGUCAAGUCAUCAUGGCCCUUACGAGUAGGGCUACACACGUGCUACAAUGGCGCAUACAAAGAGAAGCGACCUCGCGAGAGCAAGCGGACCUCAUAAAGUGCGUCGUAGUCCGGAUUGGAGUCUGCAACUCGACUCCAUGAAGUCGGAAUCGCUAGUAAUCGUAGAUCAGAAUGCUACGGUGAAUACGUUCCCGGGCCUUGUACACACCGCCCGUCACACCAUGGGAGUGGGUUGCAAAAGAAGUAGGUAGCUUAACCUUCGGGAGGGCG